RNAcentral lists this ribosomal RNA (367 nucleotides) under uncultured bacterium. RNAcentral describes it as "bacterial SSU rRNA". It matches the Rfam family "Bacterial small subunit ribosomal RNA", at positions 30 to 399 of the family's 1533-position model. The record is from RNAcentral.
AUUGAACGCUGGCGGCAUGCCUUACACAUGCAAGUCGAACGGCAGCACGGGAGCAAUCCUGGUGGCGAGUGGCGAACGGGUGAGUAAUACAUCGGAACGUGCCCAGUAGUGGGGGAUAACCCGGCGAAAGCCGGACUAAUACCGCAUACGACCUACGGGUGAAAGCAGGGGAUCGCAAGACCUUGCGCUAUUGGAGCGGCCGAUGUCAGAUUAGCUUGUUGGGGGUAAAAGCCUACCAAGGCAACGAUCUGUAGCUGGUCUGAGAGGACGACCAGCCACACUGGGACUGAGACACGGCCCAGACUCCUACGGGAGGCAGCAGUGGGGAAUUUUGGACAAUGGGCGCAAGCCUGAUCCAGCCAUGCCG